This 440-nucleotide ribosomal RNA is filed under the name uncultured bacterium. RNAcentral's name for it is "partial 16S ribosomal RNA". It matches the Rfam family "Bacterial small subunit ribosomal RNA", at positions 338 to 795 of the family's 1533-position model. The record is from RNAcentral.
CCUACGGGUGGCAGCAGUAGGGAAUAUUGCUCAAUGGGGGAAACCCUGAAGCAGCCACGCCGCGUGGAGGAUGAAGGUUUUCGGAUUGUAAACUCCUUUUGUUAGAGAGGAUAAUGACGGUAUCUAACGAAUAAGCACCGGCUAACUCCGUGCCAGCAGCCGCGGUACUACGGAGGGUGCCAGCGUUACUCGGAAUCACUGGGCGUAAAGCGCGCGUAGGCGGGAUAGCAAGUCAGAUGUGAAAUCCUAUGGCUUAACCAUAGAACUGCAUUUGAAACUGUUAUUCUAGAGUAUGGGAGAGGGAGGUGGAAUGCGUGGUGUAGCGGUAAAAUGCGUAGAGAUUAAGAGGAAUACCGAUUGCGAAGGCGACCUGCUAGAACAUAACUGACGCUGAUGCGCGAAAGCGUGGGGAGCAAACAGGAUUAGAUACCCUAGUAGUC